UACGUAGGGGGCAAGCGUUAUCCGGAUUUACUGGGUGUAAAGGGAGCGUAGACGGCAGGGCAAGUCUGGAGUGAAAGGCAGGGGCCCAACCCCUGGACUGCUCUGGAAACUGUCCGGCUGGAGUGCAGGAGAGGUAAGUGGAAUUCCUAGUGUAGCGGUGAAAUGCGUAGAUAUUAGGAGGAACACCAGUGGCGAAGGCGGCUUACCGGCGCCCUACUGACGCUGAGGCACGAAAGCGUGGGUAUCGAACAGG
Molecule: ribosomal RNA, 253 nt
Filed under: uncultured bacterium
Lineage: Bacteria
Description: partial 16S ribosomal RNA
Rfam family: Bacterial small subunit ribosomal RNA
Source: RNAcentral